RNAcentral lists this ribosomal RNA (700 nucleotides) under uncultured Aquabacterium sp. RNAcentral describes it as "bacterial SSU rRNA". It matches the Rfam family "Bacterial small subunit ribosomal RNA", at positions 59 to 756 of the family's 1533-position model. The record is from RNAcentral. Lineage: Bacteria; Pseudomonadati; Pseudomonadota; Betaproteobacteria; Burkholderiales; Sphaerotilaceae.
AAGUCGAACGGUAACGCGGGGCAACCUGGCGACGAGUGGCGAACGGGUGAGUAAUAUAUCGGAACGUGCCCAGUAGUGGGGGAUAGCCCGGCGAAAGCCGGAUUAAUACCGCAUGAGACCUGAGGGUGAAAGCGGGGGAUCGCAAGACCUCGCGCUAUUGGAGCGGCCGAUAUCAGAUUAGCUAGUUGGUGGGGUAAAGGCCUACCAAGGCAACGAUCUGUAGUUGGUCUGAGAGGACGACCAGCCACACUGGGACUGAGACACGGCCCAGACUCCUACGGGAGGCAGCAGUGGGGAAUUUUGGACAAUGGGCGCAAGCCUGAUCCAGCAAUGCCGCGUGCAGGAAGAAGGCCUUCGGGUUGUAAACUGCUUUUGUCAGGGAAGAAAUCUUCUGGGUUAAUACCUCGGGAGGAUGACGGUACCUGAAGAAUAAGCACCGGCUAACUACGUGCCAGCAGCCGCGGUAAUACGUAGGGUGCGAGCGUUAAUCGGAAUUACUGGGCGUAAAGCGUGCGCAGGCGGCUUUGCAAGACAGAUGUGAAAUCCCCGGGCUCAACCUGGGAACUGCAUUUGUGACUGCAAGGCUAGAGUACGGCAGAGGGGGAUGGAAUUCCGCGUGUAGCAGUGAAAUGCGUAGAUAUGCGGAGGAACACCAAUGGCGAAGGCAAUCCCCUGGGCCUGUACUGACGCUCAUGCACGA